Molecule: long non-coding RNA, 318 nt
Organism: Drosophila mojavensis
Lineage: Eukaryota; Metazoa; Arthropoda; Insecta; Diptera; Drosophilidae
Exons: 2
Source: RefSeq, a predicted model, not a curated record
AAAAAAACAAUGCAGAGAGACAUUCGCAAGUGGAUUUAGUUAAUGCCUAAACCUAGACGUGAGCGGGUUUCAGCCGAGCUGGGCCGAGUUCGUGCUUGUCAGCAAUGAGAGCAAAUAAAUGUUGCAAAUACUGUAAAAUUACAGUGGAGCAUUACACUCAACACGUUGAUUACAAUUUAAAUUCAAAAACCGGCUGCACGUUGUUGUUAUUGUGAGCGGGUUGCUGGUGUGCGUGCGUAAGUGUGCGAGAGCGCCAGAGAGCGAGAGCGCGAGUGAGAGCGCGCGCGCGUUUUGAAACGUUUUGAUAAUGGAACGAGU